CCAGACUCCUACGGGAGGCAGCAGUGGGGAAUAUUGGGCAAUGGGCGCAAGCCUGACCCAGCAACGCCGCGUGAAGGGAGAAGGCUUUCGGGUUGUAAACUUCUUUUGACAGGGAAGAGCAGAAGACGGUACCUGUCGAAUAAGCCACGGCUAACUACGUGCCAGCAGCCGCGGUAAUACGUAGGUGGCAAGCGUUGUCCGGAUUUACUGGGUGUAAAGGGCGUGUAGGCGGGACUGCAAGUCAGAUGUGAAAACCACGGGCUCAACCUGUGGCCUGCAUUUGAAACUGUAGUUCUUGAGUGCUGGAGAGACGGACGGAAUUCCUAGUGUAGCGGUGAAAUGCGUAGAUAUUAGGAGGAGCACCAGUGGCGAGGGCG
This 377-nucleotide ribosomal RNA is filed under the name uncultured bacterium. Its description in RNAcentral is "bacterial SSU rRNA". It matches the Rfam family "Bacterial small subunit ribosomal RNA", at positions 331 to 723 of the family's 1533-position model. The record is from RNAcentral.